CUUAGGCCUUCAAUGCCGCUUCCCUUCCUUGAUACCUCCUGCCUAAUUGCUGGACUUCCUGGUGCCCGAGUGCGCUGAGUGCACUUGUCUUCUCAGCCUUCCUAAGCAUUCGCUCGUGCAAUAAGACAUUUGGAAGGUUUUUUUGCCAGUUCAUCAGCUUUUAGGCAUUGAGGGAGGACAGUGUCUCCUGGCACGGCAUUUGUACAGAGCCUGAGAGGAACGCAGCUCGUCAGCACUGCAGGUGGCACAUGUGGCACAUCUCCUCACCGCACAGAUCCUUCCCGAGGUCCAGCUCACCUCUCUCCUCAAGGCCACGCAGGUGGAUGCCUGCCGAGCCUUUGUGUCUUGUAACCAAACGCUGUGAGGGGAGCUUAGCAUCACUAUGCUCAUCCUCACUCCAAAUUGUAGGAGACAGGAUGUCACCCAGCAAGAGCUGGAGAUGGCUUGGAUCUUCUGAGCUGAGCUCUGUGUGGACCAUCAAGUGCACUGUGCCUGCGGAGCUGCCAGUUAUGCUGAGUUUUUCUUUGUGCUCUUGUUUUGAAGACACUAGUACUAAAGGCAAGCAUCAGUCUGACAGUUCUGAAAACUGAAAUCUCUUUAUCCCCUAUGAAGGAAAGCAAACCAACCACAAUCUGGCUUCUUUCAGGCUUCUCCUGUUCAAGCCCAGUGUGGGAGCUGUACCCUGGCAGGCACGAGGGGUGUGUAACCCACUGCCCGCUUGUUCCUGAGUACUUCUGCAGAGACUUUUGGUGAGAAACUCAAGCACAUGGCUGGUUUUGCUCCGUCUUUAUUAUGCUUUUACUCCCCAGACCACAGCCCAGGAGAGACGUGCUGUUAUUGCUCGGUGCCAUGAAGUAACACGGUGCUGCAGACAACAAAAGAAGCUGACUGCAGAGCGGGGACCUCUGCAUCUCCAGGUCCCCAGCUUGGCAACCUGGUCAAUGGCUCUGGUUGUUUCAGUUCUAGGAAACAGGCUGAUGCUAAUGACCCUGAACUAUUAUUUGCCUACUGUAAUACAGGGAAAUGAGGGCUAGAUGUGAGGAUUUGCAGCUUGCUGCCUUUCCCCGCUCUCCUUCCCUGGAAGAGUUUUGCAAAAACAACUCGGCACUGGCCGGACACCCAUCCCCAUGGCUGGUAGCGACAUCCCCGCUCCCAGGGGGCCCUACCCUGCAAUACUCCACGCUGUCGUCUGCAGGCCUUGUGGAUGGGAACUACAUACCUGGAGCUCCUGAUACAGGGGCUAUGGAGGAACACCAGCUCUCCUCGUGGGAGGCAGGGUACCCUGCCUCUUCCUUCUGAAUGUGCUUUAUGGAAGAGCAGCAAGGGCUGGGUGCACGUUGCGUGUCCCCACAGCCACGUGAGGCAUGGCACGUCGGUCUGGGGCUGGCCGAAACGCGUUGUGUGAUGCAUCUGGCACGGAAACCUUUUCCCAGCUCUUCAUGCCAGGCUCUUCUGGACACCAGGAAAGGAGUGGGCAGCUGUUUGGCAGCCUUGGCCUGCUGACCAUCGCCUCCUUCUUUUGUGCCCCAGCGCCUCUCUGGGGCUCGUGAGCACAGAUGGGCCGGGCCAGGUGCAGGAUGGCCGGUGUCA
RNAcentral lists this long non-coding RNA (1590 nucleotides) under Anser cygnoides (Swan goose). Its description in RNAcentral is "lncRNA (ENSACDG00005000677.1)". Lineage: Eukaryota; Metazoa; Chordata; Aves; Anseriformes; Anatidae. The record is from RNAcentral.